Molecule: ribosomal RNA, 432 nt
Filed under: uncultured bacterium
Lineage: Bacteria
Description: partial 16S ribosomal RNA
Rfam family: Bacterial small subunit ribosomal RNA
Source: RNAcentral
AACGAACGCUGGCGGCAUGCCUAACACAUGCAAGUCGAACGAGAACUUCGGGCCUUGUGGCGCUCGGGUGCGUAACGCGUGGGAACCUGCACUUAGGUUCGGAAUCCCUCCCUGUAAGGGGAGCUAAUACCGGUUAAUGUAUUAGGACCAAGGAUCUAUCGCCUCUGGAUGGGCCCGCGUUGGUUUAGCCAGUUGGUAGGGUACAAGCCUACCAUGGCGAUGAUCCAUAGCUGGUCUGAGAGGAGGAUCAGCCACACUGGGACUGGGACACGGCCCAGACGCCUGCGGAGGGAGCAGUAGGGAAUAUUAGACGAGGGGCGAAAGCCUGAUCCAGCAAUGCCGCGUGAGUGAUGAAGGCCUUAGUGUUGUAAAGCUCUUUUACCCGGGAUGAUAAUGACAGUACCGGGAGAAUAAGCUCCGGCUAACUCCGUG